UUAACGAUAGCCAAGUAAACUGUGAUUUAUCAAUCAAAAGUAUACAACUGCAGGGUUUUGUACUUGUUUACGCGAUACAAGUAACUACUUCAUUGGAAAGAUGCUUUCUCUGUGUAACUCGAUUUCACGAUCUAUUAUGUUUAGAAUUGUAAAUCGUCACAGCUAUUUACGAUGUCUUUCUAUAUCACACACUAAUUUUGAAGGACGAUGUCAACAUCGCAAGUCUAACAUCCAAACGAAAGCUAAUCUUUCACAAGCAAUCAAAGUUGCUCAUAUGUAUAAUCCCGGCGAAUUUCCAUUGUCGGACAAAACCGUCGGGCAAACACUCGGCGAAGCUGUUGCAACGUGGCCCGAACAAACUUGUAUCGUUUCGAUCCAUCAAAAUAUUCGAUUAACGUUCUCCGACCUUCUUCGACGGGUUGACGCUUUUGCUGCGGGCCUCAAGAAAUUAGGAAUGAAGAAGGG
Long non-coding RNA from Camponotus floridanus (Florida carpenter ant), 465 nucleotides. RefSeq lists it as uncharacterized. The transcript is spliced from 3 exons. NCBI's taxonomy places the organism in Eukaryota, Metazoa, Arthropoda, Insecta, Hymenoptera, Formicidae. The record is from RefSeq and is a predicted model, not a curated record.